UGAGUUUGAUUCUGGCUCAGNACGAACGCUGGCGGAAGGCUUAACACAUGCAAGUCGAGCGCACUCUUCGGAGUGAGCGGCAGACGGGUGAGUAACGCGUGGGAACGUGCCCUUUGGUUCGGAAUAGCCCUUGGAAACGAGGAGUAAUGCCGAAUGUGCCCUUCGGGGGAAAGAUUUAUCGCCAAAGGAUCGGCCCGCGUUAGAUUAGCUAGUUGGUGAGGUAACGGCUCACCAAGGCGACGAUCUAUAGCUGGUCUGAGAGGAUGAUCAGCCACACUGGGACUGAGACACGGCCCAGACUCCUACGGGAGGCAGCAGUGGGGAAUCUUGGACAAUGGGCGCAAGCCUGAUCCAGCCAUUCCGCGUGGAUGAUGAAGGCCCUAGGGUUGUAAAAUCCUUUCGGCAGGGAAGAUAAUGACGGUACCUGCUAAAGAAGCCCCGGCUAACUCCGUGCCAGCAGCCGCGGUAAUACGGAGGGGGCUAGCGUUGUUCGGAAUUACUGGGCGUAAAGCGCGCGUAGGCGGAUCGAUCAGUCAGAGGUGAAAUCCCGGAGCUCAACUUCGGAAC
RNAcentral lists this ribosomal RNA (567 nucleotides) under uncultured Alphaproteobacteria bacterium. RNAcentral's name for it is "bacterial SSU rRNA". It matches the Rfam family "Bacterial small subunit ribosomal RNA", at positions 1 to 621 of the family's 1533-position model. The record is from RNAcentral. Lineage: Bacteria; Pseudomonadati; Pseudomonadota; Alphaproteobacteria.